AUUUAGCGCCACGCAAGUCCGUGAGGAUCUAUGCAAACUCGUUCGAGGACGAGGCCGGACCAGAUGACCUUGUUGCCUCCAAGACAACUUGCAAGUCCUGGGGAGUUGGCAGCGGGGAAUACAAACUCUGCGACGACAAAGGAACGGAGAAGGCAAAUUCCAAGAU
This is a long non-coding RNA of Dreissena polymorpha, 166 nucleotides long. RefSeq lists it as uncharacterized. The transcript is spliced from 3 exons. The record is from RefSeq and is a predicted model, not a curated record. NCBI's taxonomy places the organism in Eukaryota, Metazoa, Mollusca, Bivalvia, Myida, Dreissenidae.